This 913-nucleotide long non-coding RNA is filed under the name Anser brachyrhynchus (Pink-footed goose). RNAcentral's name for it is "lncRNA (ENSABRG00000022088.1)". The record is from RNAcentral. Lineage: Eukaryota; Metazoa; Chordata; Aves; Anseriformes; Anatidae.
AUGAGCUCAGUGAGACUGGUGUAAUCAGCGCUGAAGAAGGGAAGGACACAGAUGGAAGGCAGGGUUUGUCUUUCCGUAACACCCAAACAAGAAGAUUUUAUAAACUUAUUAGGAUAACUGGCGUGCAGGAAGAAUGGAUCUCUUCUGUGAUUCCUGACCCACCUAAUUGCGUGAUUGUCGUGAGCAAUAACAACCUGGCUCAGGGGAGCGGCGCUGGGGAAAGAUGCUGACGUAUUCAGUAUGGCACACUGCUUCUCCGUCCCGGAAUGGCUUCAUGUGGGAACAAAGUUUGUCAUCCUGAGACACCAGACCUUUGACGAGACUCAGGUAACCUCUGACAGCGCGUACGGUGCUAACAAAGAGUCCCUGUCAGCCUUUGUGGAAGACUUUGAGACUUCAGUCAGCGUUGACUUUCUAGAAGAUGAGGAGCGUGUUGGCGAAGUGCUAGACUGUGGUUCUUCGGAUCUAUCGGAUCAUGGAGGAACAGAAGAAGCUCAGCAUGAAGAUGAAAAGAUGACAGAAGCAGCAGCAUCCCAGAAGUUGUGAUCACACAGGCAGAUGAGGUGGGUGAUAGACAAUACUUGAUAGAAAAUUCCUUUUUAUCUUAUCUGAUUUGUAUUCUUGGCUGGGAUGAGAAAUACAUCUUGUUGUUUCUAAUUAAUUCUUUAAUUUUCUUUUAUUUAUAUUUUGAAUUUAGCAAAAUUCUAUUUCAUGUAAGAAUCAUUCUCCAUCUAACCCAAAAUGCAUUAAAAAGGCUAUUUGCUUUAAUCAGCGGGAUUUUUAAUCUUAUUAUAUGCUUCUCAAAAAUGAAUAUUUCUUUGUAUUGUAGAGUACAUAUUUACAUAAAUUAGUGUUAUCCUUGGUUAUUUUGCCAACCAUAAUUUAUACGCUUUUUAGUUUUAUCAUAAAGUAA